Molecule: ribosomal RNA, 253 nt
Filed under: uncultured bacterium
Lineage: Bacteria
Description: partial 16S ribosomal RNA
Rfam family: Bacterial small subunit ribosomal RNA
Source: RNAcentral
UACAGAGGGUGCAAGCGUUAAUCGGAAUUACUGGGCUUAAAGCGCGCGUAGGUGGUUUGUUAAGUUGGAUGUGAAAUCCCCGGGCUCAACCUGGGAACUGCAUUCAAAACUGACAAGCUAGAGUAUGGUAGAGGGUGGUGGAAUUUCCUGUGUAGCGGUGAAAUGCGUAGAUAUAGGAAGGAACACCAGUGGCGAAGGCGACCACCUGGACUGAUACUGACACUGAGGUGCGAAAGCGUGGGGAGCAAACAGG